Molecule: ribosomal RNA, 795 nt
Filed under: uncultured Bacillota bacterium
Lineage: Bacteria; Bacillati; Bacillota
Description: bacterial SSU rRNA
Rfam family: Bacterial small subunit ribosomal RNA
Source: RNAcentral
AGGAGAGUUUGAUCCUGGCUCAGGAUGAACGCUGGCGGCGUGCCUAACACAUGCAAGUCGAACGAAGCACUUUUUUACGAUCCCUUCGGGGUGACGAAUUUGUGACUGAGUGGCGGACGGGUGAGUAACGCGUGGGAAACCUGCCUUGUACCGGGGGAUAGCAGUUGGAAACGACUGAUAAUACCGCAUAAGCGCGCAGUAUCACAUGAUACAGUGUGAAAAACUCCGGUGGUACAAGAUGGUCCCGCGUCUGAUUAGCUUGUUGGCGGGGCAACGGCCCACCAAGGCGACGAUCAGUAGCCGACCUGAGAGGGUGACCGGCCACAUUGGGACUGAGACACGGCCCAAACUCCUACGGGAGGCAGCAGUGGGGAAUAUUGCACAAUGGAGGAAACUCUGAUGCAGCGACGCCGCGUGAGCGAUGAAGUAUUUCGGUAUGUAAAGCUCUAUCAGCAGGGAAGAUAAUGACGGUACCUGAGUAAGAAGCUCCGGCUAAAUACGUGCCAGCAGCCGCGGUAAUACGUAUGGAGCAAGCGUUAUCCGGAUUUACUGGGUGUAACGGGAGUGUAGGCGGCUUUGCAAGUCAGAUGUGAAAGCCCGGGGCUCAACCCCGGGACUGCAUUUGAAACUGUGAAGCUGGAGUGUCGGAGAGGUAAGUGGAAUUCCUAGUGUAGCGGUGAAAUGCGUAGAUAUUAGGAAGAACACCAGUGGCGAAGGCGGCUUACUGGACGAUUACUGACGCUGAGGCUCGAAAGCGUGGGGAGCAAACAGGAUUAGAUACCCUGGUAGUCCCCU